RNAcentral lists this ribosomal RNA (292 nucleotides) under uncultured bacterium. RNAcentral's name for it is "partial 16S ribosomal RNA". It matches the Rfam family "Bacterial small subunit ribosomal RNA", at positions 29 to 334 of the family's 1533-position model. The record is from RNAcentral.
AACGAACGCUGGCGGCAGGCCUAACACAUGCAAGUCGAACGAAGGCUCCAGCUUGCUGGAUGUCCUUAGUGGCGCACGGGUGAGUAACGCGUGGGAACCUGGCCUGGAGUGAGGAAUAACUUCUGGAAACGGAAGCUAAUACCGCAUAAUCCCUGAGGGGGAAAGACUUCGGUCGCUCUAGGAUGGUCCCGCGUCGGAUUAGGUAGUUGGUGAGGUAAUGGCUCACCAAGCCGACGAUCCGUAGCUGGUUUGAGAGGAUGACCAGCCACACUGGGACUGAGACACGGCCCAG